This 370-nucleotide ribosomal RNA is filed under the name uncultured organism. Its description in RNAcentral is "bacterial SSU rRNA". It matches the Rfam family "Bacterial small subunit ribosomal RNA", at positions 526 to 896 of the family's 1533-position model. The record is from RNAcentral.
CGUAGGGUGCGAGCGUUAAUCGGAAUUACUGGGCGUAAAGCGUGCGCAGGCGGUUUUGUAAGACAGAUGUGAAAUCCCCGGGCUCAACCUGGGACCUGCAUUCGUGACUGCAAGGCUAGAGUACGGUAGAGGGGGAUGGAAUUCCGCGUGUAGCAGUGAAAUGCGUAGAUAUGCGGAGGAACACCGAUGGCGAAGGCAAUCCCCUGGACCUGUACUGACGCUCAUGCACGAAAGCGUGGGGAGCAAACAGGAUUAGAUACCCUGGUAGUCCACGCCCUAAACGAUGUCAACUGGUUGUUGGGUCUUCACUGACUCAGUAACGAAGCUAACGCGUGAAGUUGACCGCCUGGGGAGUACGGCCGCAAGGUUG